This is a long non-coding RNA of Neopelma chrysocephalum (saffron-crested tyrant-manakin), 1222 nucleotides long. RefSeq lists it as uncharacterized. Lineage: Eukaryota; Metazoa; Chordata; Aves; Passeriformes; Pipridae. The record is from RefSeq and is a predicted model, not a curated record. The transcript is spliced from 3 exons.
UCUCAUUCCUAAAUUAAUCUCACUUUCAAUUUGUGACCAUGACUGAGCUGGAACUGCAGACUAUAAAGAAUGACUCCUCAGAUGUCGAGGCUGUGGAUUAUGAAUUUGCCAGAGAUGCUGAUGCCAACUCUUCUCACUCCACGUGGAACCAUGGUUUUCCAGACACACUGUCAGCCCAGCAGUCAGUCCUCAGUCUUGCAGAUGGACAUAUGUCUUCACCUUCAGCUUUCUGAUCACGUCUGCAUCUCCCAUUCCUUCUCUUUCUUUCUCUGAAUCAAAGGUGACACACAAACUUAGUGCAAAAAAGAUCCCACAAACUAAGACCUUGUAGAAGAAAAGGAAGCAGCCAAGAAAUUUAAGGUAUUUGUAACAUUGCCAAGCUUCAAUCAUUUGGGAUAAAAUUUUCCAUGUUAGGUGUCUCCAUCUGACAAGUUUUAAAUUUUUUGUUUGUUUGUUUUGGGUAUAUUACAGUAAAAAUAAUUUGGCUGCUUUCAAGGACAAGGCUAUGGAAAAAGAAGUUUUGUCCAUGUGAACUGACUCCAGUGACCUUAAACUGAGUGUUUCACAUUUCAGAUUAAAACCUAGGACAGAGGGAGGAGUGAGCACACUUCAUAUCAAGGAUGUGCCUUUUGGCAUCCCUCUGAAAUCUGACCCUAGUUCAUUAAAUUUCAUACUAUUGGGGGGUGGAGAGGGGUGUGUGGAGAGGGAAGUUCACACAUGUUCAAUAGAUCAAGAUUUUAACAGUUUAAUUCAGCAAAGUUGUCACCCCUAAGAGGCUGAACAUGAUGUUAUCAUGACUUGUGCUGCAAGUGCAAAGUCUGAGCGCCUAAACUAAGGUCAGCAAACACUUUGUUGGGUUUCCCAAUGAUACCCUUUGAUUUAGGGAGUUAAAAGUACUGGAGAAAAGAACUUGUUCAGAGAGAAGGGAGUAAACUGUGAUGGGAGUAAGUCACAGGAUACUACUGAGUAGGAUGGAAAUAAGAGAUAAGAUAGGCUACGAAAACAGUAUACAGGGCAAAGAUAAAGAUUGUCGAUAUAAUCGUAACUGAUGAAGUAAAGACAGGCUUGGAUAAGAAGGUUGAGAGAUUUGAUAUAAGACCAACUACCAUCUUAACUUUGAACAUUUCAUAGCCUCAUCUCAUAGUAUUAAUUUUUAAAAUAUAUCUUCAUUGUAAUUGCUUGUAGAGAUGAAACAAUUAUAUUACAUAUAGCUCUUCACUCU